GACGAACGCUGGCGGCGUGCCUAAUACAUGCAAGUAGAACGCUGAAGGAGGAGCUUGCUCUUCUGGAUGAGUUGCGAACGGGUGAGUAACGCGUAGGUAACCUGCCUGGUAGCGGGGGAUAACUAUUGGAAACGAUAGCUAAUACCGCAUAACAGUAGAUGUUGCAUGACAUUUACUUAAAAGGUGCAAUUGCAUCACUACCAGAUGGACCUGCGCUGUAUUAGCUAGUUGGUGGGGUAACGGCUCACCAAGGCGACGAUACAUAGCCGACCUGAGAGGGUGAUCGGCCACACUGGGACUGAGACACGGCCCAGACUCCUACGGGAGGCAGCAGUAGGGAAUCUUCGGCAAUAGACGGAAGUCUGACCGAGCAACGCCGCGUGAGUGAAGAAGGUUUUCGGAUCGUAAAGCUCUGUUGUAAGAGAAGAACGAGUGUGAGAGUGGAAAGUUCACACUGUGACGGUAUCUUACCAGAAAGGGACGGCUAACUACGUG
This 495-nucleotide ribosomal RNA is filed under the name uncultured bacterium. RNAcentral's name for it is "partial 16S ribosomal RNA". It matches the Rfam family "Bacterial small subunit ribosomal RNA", at positions 28 to 507 of the family's 1533-position model. The record is from RNAcentral.